Molecule: ribosomal RNA, 516 nt
Filed under: uncultured bacterium
Lineage: Bacteria
Description: bacterial SSU rRNA
Rfam family: Bacterial small subunit ribosomal RNA
Source: RNAcentral
AUGGCUCAGGACGAACGCUGGCGGCGUGCCUAAUACAUGCAAGUCGAGCGAAUGACAAGGAGCUUGCUCCUUUGAUUUAGCGGCGGACGGGUGAGUAACACGUGGGUAACCUACCCUAUAGACUGGGAUAACUUCGGGAAACCGGAGCUAAUACCGGAUAAUACUUCGAAACACAUGUUUUGAAGUUAAAAGAUGGUUUCGGCUAUCACUAUAGGAUGGACCCGCGGCGCAUUAGCUAGUUGGUGGGGUAAUGGCUCACCAAGGCAACGAUGCGUAGCCGACCUGAGAGGGUGAUCGGCCACACUGGGACUGAGACACGGCCCAGACUCCUACGGGAGGCAGCAGUAGGGAAUCUUCCACAAUGGACGAAAGUCUGAUGGAGCAACGCCGCGUGAGUGAAGAAGGAUUUCGGUUCGUAAAACUCUGUUGCAAGGGAAGAACAAGUAGCGUAGUAACUGGCGCUACCUUGACGGUACCUUGUUAGAAAGCCACGGCUAACUACGUGCCAGCAGCGGC